UACAGAGGGUGCGAGCGUUGUCCGGAAUGACUGGGCGUAAAGGGCGUGUAGGCGGUCGCUUAAGUCUGGAGUGAAAGUCCUGCUUUCAAGGUGGGAAUUGCUUUGGAUACUGGGUGACUUGAGUGCGGAAGAGGUAAGUGGAAUUCCCAGUGUAGCGGUGAAAUGCGUAGAGAUUGGGAGGAACACCAGCGGCGAAGGCGACUUACAGGGCCGUAACUGACGCUGAGGCGCGAAAGCGUGGGGAGCGAAC
RNAcentral lists this ribosomal RNA (250 nucleotides) under uncultured prokaryote. RNAcentral's name for it is "partial 16S ribosomal RNA". It matches the Rfam family "Bacterial small subunit ribosomal RNA", at positions 524 to 773 of the family's 1533-position model. The record is from RNAcentral.